Molecule: ribosomal RNA, 252 nt
Filed under: uncultured bacterium
Lineage: Bacteria
Description: partial 16S ribosomal RNA
Rfam family: Bacterial small subunit ribosomal RNA
Source: RNAcentral
UACGGAGGAGGCAAGCGUUAUCCGGAAUUAUUGGGCGUAAAGCGUCCGUAGGUGGUUUAGUAAGUCUGCUGUUAAAGCGCGGGGCUUAACUCCGUAUCGGCAGUGGAAACUACUAGACUAGAGUGUGGUAGGGGUAGAGGGAAUUCCCAGUGUAGCGGUGAAAUGCGUAGAUAUUGGGAAGAACACCGGUGGCGAAGGCGCUCUACUGGGCCAUAACUGACACUGAUGGACGAAAGCUAGGGAGCGAAAGGG